GGAACAACUUCCUAUAUUAAUCGAUGUAAUCAUCUAGCAAUGAGAUCCAAUAUUCAGAUCGAUUGAAAGAUUGCAAAGCAAUAUUCUAGAACCUACUGGUAUAUGAUUAUCGUAUAAUUCAUCCUUUUGACCCAAAUGCUCAAGAUAACCUAGGGUUUAACUAUCAACCCUAAUAUAGUCGAUCACAUUAUAUUUCAACCUUUUAAAUCCAUCCUAUGAAUUACCCUGGCCA
RNAcentral lists this long non-coding RNA (232 nucleotides) under Elaeis guineensis (African oil palm). Its description in RNAcentral is "long non-coding RNA (EGUI_LNC036984)". The record is from RNAcentral. Lineage: Eukaryota; Viridiplantae; Streptophyta; Magnoliopsida; Arecales; Arecaceae.